Molecule: long non-coding RNA, 414 nt
Filed under: Spirodela polyrhiza (greater duckweed)
Lineage: Eukaryota; Viridiplantae; Streptophyta; Magnoliopsida; Alismatales; Araceae
Description: long non-coding RNA (SPOL_LNC001362)
Source: RNAcentral
GCCGACGGUGUGGCGGACCCAGAAGGAACCGGCCUUCGCCGCGGCCGCUGACGACGGCGGCGGCGGCGGUGGCGGCUUGGCCGAUUGCUUCCGGGAGCUGCGAGAGCGGUGGAUGAGGCUGUCGAGGUCGCUGUUGAUCCGCUCGAUCUCGUAGCGGUCGAAGAGAGAGAGGGAGGCGCUUCGUACGAGAGGCUUCUUUUCAGGGUAGUGGACGGCGGCGGCGCCACCGGCAGCGGCGAUGGCGGCAGCGGCCUCAGCCUCGAGCCUGUAGCGGGAAGGGCGGCAGCGGCGGCGGGGGGGAGCGGCGGCGCCGCCGGCAGCUUCGAAUGGGUGGACGAGCCUGCCUUCUUUGGCGGUGGUGUGCUGGUGCCACGCCCAUGCGGCGGCCUUUGCCAGCGCGAGAUCCUCCCCGGG